AACGCACGAGACCUGCGGACCUGCGGAGGGAUCAUUAAUGAGAAACUGCCCCUCGCGGGUAGAUCUCCCACCCUUUGUAAACUUACCUUUGUUGCUUUGGCAGGCCCGUCUCCGGACCGCCGGCUUCGGCUGGCCAGUGCCUGCCAGAGGAUUCUAAAACUCUGUCUGUCAGUGCUGUCUGAGUCUAUAUACAAUCGUUAAAACUUUUAACAAUGGAUCUCUAGAUCGGAAGAGCACACG
This 240-nucleotide unclassified non-coding RNA is filed under the name soil metagenome. RNAcentral describes it as "partial contains 5.8S ribosomal RNA, internal transcribed spacer 2, and large subunit ribosomal RNA". The record is from RNAcentral.